GUUGUUUCGGCAAUAUGGGGGUUGUAGGACCGCGACAUUUGAUGUGCGAUGAAUCAGAAUCCUUUGGAAAGAGGAACCAUAGAGGGUGAUAGUCCCGUAAGAGCAAAGACCAUUAUCGAUAGCGGUAUCCUGAGUAGUGCGGGGCACGUGAAACCCUGUAUGAAUCCGGCGGGACCAUCCGCCAAGACUAAAUACUCCUGAGAGACCGAUAGUGAACCAGUACCGUGAGGGAAAGGUGAAAAGAACCCUGAACAAGGGAGUGAAAAAGAUCCUGAAACCAUACGCCUACAAGCGGUCGGAGCCCUUUGGGGUGACGGCGUGCCUUUUGCAUAAUGAGCCUACGAGUUACUUUUACUGGCAAGGUUAAGCACUUCAGGUGCGGAUCCGUAGCGAAAGCGAGUCUGAAUAGGGCGCCAUAGUCAGUAGUAGUAGACGCGAAACCGUGUGAUCUACCCAUGGGCAGGUUGAAGCAGUGGUAACACACUGUGGAGGACCGAACCCGUUGACGUUGAAAAGUCUUGGGAUGACCUGUGGGUAGGGGUGAAAGGCCAAUCAAACUCGGAAAUAGCUCGUACUCCCCGAAAUGCAUUUAGGUGCAGCGUAUACAUAGUUUUAUAGAGGUAGAGCUACUGAUUGGAUGCGGGGGCUUCACCGCCUACCAAUUCCUGACAAACUCCGAAUGCUAUAAAAUGUUUGUGUGCAGUGAGGGCAUGGGUGCUAAGGUCCAUGUCCGAGAGGGAAAGAACCCAGAUCACCAGCUAAGGUCCCAAAGUAUAUGCUAAGUUGAUAUAACGCGGUGGAACUGCAUUGACAGCCAGGAUGUUGGCUUGGAAGCAGCCAUUCAUUUAAAGAGUGCGUAACAGCUCACUGGUCGAGCGGUUCCGCAUGGAUAAUAAUCGGGCAUAAGCAUAUCACCGAAGCUGUGACUUCUAUUUAUAGAGGGGUAGGGGAGCAUUCCAGGGGUGUUGAAGGUGGCCUGCGAGGUCCACUGGAACGCCUGGAAACGAAAAUGUAGGCAUAAGUAACGAUAAUGCGGGCGAGAAACCCGCACGCCGAAAGACCAAGGUUUCCCCAGCUAUGCUAAUCAGCUGGGGGUCAGUCGGGACCUAACACGAACCCGAAGGGGGUAGUGGAUGGACAACAGAUUAAUAUUUCUGUACCUGCUCACGCUAAAAGUGACGGGGAUGUGGCGUUGGUGCGUACUGACGGAAUAGUACGUUGAAGGGAGCGGUGACGCCCCGAUAGUACACUGCGGCUUCGGCCAAGGUGAUAAUCCAGUUUAACAUCCUCCGAGAAAACCAAGUGAAGCAGCCCGUACCGCAAACCGACACAGGUGGUUGGGAUGAGUAUUCUAAGGCGCUCGAGAGAUUCAUGGCUAAGGAACUAGGCAAAAUAGACGCGUAACUUCGGGAGAAGCGUCGCCCUCCUUUACAGGAGGGCCGCAGUGAAAGAGUCCAGGCGACUGUUUAUCAAAAACACAGAGCUCUGCAAAAUCGUGAGAUGACGUAUAGGGCUUGACACCUGCCCGGUGCUGGAAGGUUAAGAGGAGAUGUCAUUCCUUCGGGGAGAAGCAUUGAAUUGAAGCCCCAGUAAACGGCGGCCGUAACUAUAACGGUCCUAAGGUAGCGAAAUUCCUUGUCGGGUAAGUUCCGACCUGCACGAAUGGUGCAACGAUCUGGACACUGUCUCAGCCAUGAGCUCGGUGAAAUUGUAGUAUCGGUGAAGAUGCCGGUUACCCGCAGUGGGACGAAAAGACCCCGUGCACCUUUACUAUAGCUUCGUAUUGACCCUGGGCAACCAAUGUGUAGGAUAGCUGGGAGACUUUGAAGCUGCGCCGCCAGGCGUGGUGGAGUCGCCGUUGAAAUACCAGCCUUUGUUUGUCCGGGGCCUAACUCCC
This 1897-nucleotide ribosomal RNA is filed under the name Arenibacter certesii DSM 19833. Its description in RNAcentral is "bacterial LSU rRNA". It matches the Rfam family "Bacterial large subunit ribosomal RNA", at positions 277 to 2230 of the family's 2925-position model. The record is from RNAcentral. Lineage: Bacteria; Pseudomonadati; Bacteroidota; Flavobacteriia; Flavobacteriales; Flavobacteriaceae.